UCGUCCGUCGCAUUCGCGUGGGUUUUAAUUUCCUCGAACCGAUGCUCUUUGAGCAAGGGCUUGGAACAUUGCCCGGCUGGUGUGAUCGUCUCGCGUCAGAUGAACCCGAAGCCGGGCUGACCUCGCCCACCUGGACCUCGCACCUAUGGGUUCAGGAAUGCGGCCCACGGUUUGCGGCGGACACU
Molecule: non-coding RNA, 185 nt
Filed under: Burkholderiales bacterium JOSHI_001
Lineage: Bacteria; Pseudomonadati; Pseudomonadota; Betaproteobacteria; Burkholderiales
Description: 6S / SsrS RNA
Rfam family: 6S / SsrS RNA
About the family: E. coli 6S RNA was the first non coding RNA to be sequenced, but its function was unknown until recently. It consists of 184 nucleotides that fold into an extended hairpin structure with a large single-stranded internal bulge.
Source: Rfam by way of RNAcentral